This 637-nucleotide ribosomal RNA is filed under the name uncultured bacterium. RNAcentral's name for it is "bacterial SSU rRNA". It matches the Rfam family "Bacterial small subunit ribosomal RNA", at positions 202 to 842 of the family's 1533-position model. The record is from RNAcentral.
UAAAGAUUCAUCGCUGAUAGAUAGGCAUGCGUUCCAUUAGGCAGUUGGCGGGGUAACGGCCCACCAAACCGACGAUGGAUAGGGGUCCUGAGAGGAAGGUCCCCCACAUUGGUACUGAGACACGGACCAAACUCCUACGGGAGGCAGCAGUGAGGAAUAUUGGUCAAUGGGCGUAAGCCUGAACCAGCCAAGUCGCGUGAGGGAUGAAGGUUCUAUGGAUCGUAAACCUCUUUUAUAAGGGAAUAAAGUGUGGGACGUGUCCUGUUUUGUAUGUACCUUAUGAAUAAGGAUCGGCUAACUCCGUGCCAGCAGCCGCGGUAAUACGGAGGAUCCGAGCGUUAUCCGGAUUUAUUGGGUUUAAAGGGUGCGUAGGCGGCCUUUUAAGUCAGCGGUGAAAGUCUGUGGCUCAACCAUAGAAUUGCCGUUGAAACUGGGAGGCUUGAGUAUGUUUGAGGCAGGCGGAAUGCGUGGUGUAGCGGUGAAAUGCUUAGAUAUCACGCAGAACCCCGAUUGCGAAGGCAGCCUGCCAAGCCAUGACUGACGCUGAUGCACGAAAGCGUGGGGAUCAAACAGGAUUAGAUACCCUGGUAGUCCACGCAGUAAACGAUGAUCACUAGCUGUUUGCGAUACAGUGUAA